CAACGCAUGCGUCUUCACCGAUCUGCUGUUGUGACUCCCAAAAUAAGACAUCAAAUGACAAUGUGACACCAGCCCUCCACGGUAGUCUGCGUACAGUAACGCGUUACCGGCGAGUGUAGCGGGCUGUGCGCUCUGGAGUCUCCAUAAAAGUUAGUGCGCACGAGCUCGAGCUGUCAGACUGGGCAGAAUCGCGGCGGAGCAAAGGCAGGAGGCUGAAGUGAUUGAUCAGGAUCGAUCUCCCUCGAAGAGAUUCAUCCAUUCAUAUGAGGUGUGCGGUUUGAUCCUCUUGGUGGAGGCGCAGCAACAGGACGCAAUUAAAGCUCAGAACGCACAGUUUGAAGUGACACCUGGUUGUUUCUGGACUCUAUCGGAAUAAAACCACAGGGAGGUUUGGAUGCAGGAGAAUCUCGGCUGUGCGGUAGUGGAGGUGCCCUGUCUGCCGCUUUAACAGAAGUAGAAGAAGAUUCGUUCUUUGCUGUUUGAUUUUAGGCGGAAAAAAAGCCACUACCGUUUUGUACUCUCCAAUCCAUGCAGCAAAUGUCUCCACAUCACAGAAACAACACUGGAUUGUAGCAGCAGCAGCCCCACAGAUGGUUUGAGAGGAGGUUAAGGUGCGGGAAGGGAGUGGGACAAUUACAGGAUGAGUGAGCGAUACUCGCAGAUCGGAAGUAAAGGGGCUCUACUUGUAAUGGUGCUUGUGAUUACCUUCUGGGAGAUGACUGUACCAACAGAAGGAGCAACAGCAGCGCAUCAUGUCCGGACAGGAACCUGUGAGGUGGUGGCGUUGCAUCGCUGCUGCAACAAGAACAAAAUCGAGGAGCGGUCACAAACUGUGAAGUGCUCCUGCUUCCCCGGGCAAGUGGCCGGCACCACCAGAGCCGCCCCGUCGUGUGUAGAUGCUUCAAUCGUGGAGCAGAAGUGGUGGUGUCAGAUGCACCCGUGCCUUGACGGGGAGGAAUGCAAAGUCCUUCCCGACCUGAAAGGCUGGAGCUGUGCUACAGGGAACAAGAUCAAAACUACAAAGGUAAGUUUAAGAAACAAAACUAUUGUCACUUUCAGGGCAGGUCCAUAUUCUGAGCUCUUAAAUCUGACCCAGCAUAUUUCAACUCUCAAGGUUAACAGGCUGCGGCUUCCGUUACAUUCUCCUGCCCCUGCCCUCACCUAAAAACAGCUAAUGUUUGCAGUCUUUGCCUGGAUCCCUGGGGGCCUGUAAUCAAUGGGCUGCCAUGUCUCCUUAGCACUUCCAGGCCACUCUGAGCACCCAAACUGGCCAAUUACUCACUCCAAUUACCUGCUUUUAACAUUGUAACACGACGCCUGUAUCCUUCACUGUUAUAUGACGACCCGUUGACUUCGGUUCUGUCUCUCUCCAUGUACUUAAUUAUUUAAACUGCCCGCAAACACCUGCCUGGAGCCGAAAGCCUGGAGCCUGGGGCUAUUGAUUCAGGGACUUGUCGGGACCUCAAAAUGAGAUACAUAUGAUGAUUUUUUCUUUUAACGGUUGAGGGGUUUGGAGACCAAUAUCUGGUGAUGUCUGGAAAUAGAUUGCGGUAGUUUUCAGACCUAAAAGUUAAACUUCUCUUUUCUUUGUUUGUCUUCUUAACAUGUGUGACUGGAAAGAUUUCUGCUGACAGAGACCAGCUUUGGUAACGACAGAUGCUUCACUGUGGAGUACAGGAGAACCAACAAUUCUGCUUUGGGAGAGGAGAGUAAUGCAAAGGACCUUUCUGUAAAUAAAGACUUCCUUUCUUCUGGGCUACGAUUAAUCUUUGGAAAAACCUGAAUGCUUCUUUUUGGACUCCAUGGACAUCGAAAAGAGGAUUGCAUUCUAAUGAAAGUACUGAACGUUCAGAACUUCUUUCCAAGGACUCCCUAUGAUAAGCCUUACAGGACUGCAGGAUUCAUUCUGGACAUUGUACUGCAUUAAGUGGAAGACAAUGUACUUCACCUAUAUGUAAAUUUUAAGAGCAUUUAAAUUCUGAACAGAGGAUUCUUCGUCACAAGAAGAGCAGGUCAAUUUGAUGUAAUACACAAUACAAAAUGGUUUAGUUUUAUCACUCAAGGAUUUCUCCUCUACAGUUUCAAAGGUGCAGAUAAAGAUGAAGUUAUGUGUCCGAGUAGCAGAUAUUCAGGGUGAUUUUCAAAGAAAUACACAAACACAUUCAUCACUGCUCCUUUCAUACUGUGAGCUGAUUCCCAAAGUGGAAACCCUGAUACAAUUACAAACCCUGCAUAAACCUACUAAACCAGUUAUCAUUGUAUUAAGGACUCCAAGCCAGAUAUUGUUGACAACAUAAGGACUACUGAGCUACACCAAAUAUAUAAAAAAGUUCUUAACUCGUCAAACAGCUUUUGACAGAAAGUUGAAUCCAGAUGUGGUUUAUUUUUUUCCCUCUGAAAAUCAUUCACUCUGUCAUUUCCCGCUUCUUGUGCCAGAUUUUGUUUUUGUAUCACAGCUCUGGAGUUCAGAUUCUUGACAGUGGCAGUGUAAAUUAAACGCACAGCAUCUGGCUGCCAGCUGGAUGAUGACAAAACUGUUUCCAAAAAUUGUCUCUGACUAGUUACUCAAGUAAGAUCACCUUCUAGUAGGUAUCGCUGGCACAUCCUUCGUCUGUGUAAGUGAUGACAGUAAUAAACUAUGGUUGUGUA
RNA transcript from Notolabrus celidotus (New Zealand spotty), 2649 nucleotides. It is a transcript of the gene named chemokine-like protein TAFA-2, with no coding region annotated. Lineage: Eukaryota; Metazoa; Chordata; Actinopteri; Labriformes; Labridae. The transcript is spliced from 5 exons. The record is from RefSeq and is a predicted model, not a curated record.